GACGAACGCUGGCGGCGUGCUUAACACAUGCAAGUCGAACGGUGAAGGGACCAGCUUGCUGGUUCUGGAUGAGUGGCGAACGGGUGAGUAACACGUGAGUAACCUGCCCCCUUCUUCUGGAUAACCGCAUGAAAGUGUGGCUAAUACGGGAUAUUCUGGGUCUGUCGCAUGGCGGGCCCGGGAAAGAUAUUGCUUCGGUGGGGGAUGGGCUCGCGGCCUAUCAGCUUGUUGGUGGGGUGAUGGCCUACCAAGGCGGUGACGGGUAGCCGGCCUGAGAGGGUGGACGGUCACACUGGGACUGAGACACGGCCCAGACUCCUACGGGAGGCAGCAGUGGGGAAUAUUGCACAAUGGGCGCAAGCCUGAUGCAGCGACGCCGCGUGAGGGAUGGAGGCCUUCGGGUUGUAAACCCCUUUCGCCAGUGAAGCAGGCCUGCUCCUUGUGGGUGGGUUGACGGUAGCUGGAUAAGAAGCGCCGGCUAACUACGUG
Molecule: ribosomal RNA, 489 nt
Filed under: uncultured bacterium
Lineage: Bacteria
Description: partial 16S ribosomal RNA
Rfam family: Bacterial small subunit ribosomal RNA
Source: RNAcentral